UCACUUUGCGUUUUAUUGUCAAGGCGCGCAAAUAUUGUCAAAAGACUUUGAAGUGGAAAGAACUCUCCGUUUGGUCCCCCGACCCAGGGACCAGUCGGGCCACAUUUGCAUCUCGCUGCAACGGAAGCGCCACAGAUAUGAAAAAAAGAUGCCGACAAUGGGACAGGCAUCAGGCAUCGAGCACAGUGGAAAACUUGUCGCUGUCUGCGAGCUGCGAGUGUCCCCUGUCUGUCUGUCCGUCCGUCCGUCUCUCAGUUCGCUCUGUUCCCUCGAGUCGAAUGCAGUCCUGUUUUUGUUUGCGCCGGCGCUUCAAGUGUCCCUGUUGGCAUGCGGGCAGGACCUGGACUCGAGACGACAUCGACGACGACGACGACACUCAAGUGCCAGGCAAUCAACAACAAAUUAUGAGUGCUACAAUUUGCCCAGCUAGAUACGGUAAUGGAUCGUCGACUUAUCGCCACGUUCACAGCCAAAGCGAUGCGCACUCACCUCGUAUUCGGCUUGGCUGGCAUUGAACUUUCGCCGGGGCAAUCGUAGAGAAUAGCAGACAAUGUCGACACUCUACUGACCCACUUGGGCAGGUCUAGAGAGCAGGCCGCGCAAAAUCAUAAGUAAAAA
Molecule: long non-coding RNA, 618 nt
Organism: Drosophila navojoa
Lineage: Eukaryota; Metazoa; Arthropoda; Insecta; Diptera; Drosophilidae
Source: RefSeq, a predicted model, not a curated record